UACGUAUGGUGCAAGCGUUAUCCGGAUUUACUGGGUGUAAAGGGAGCGCAGGCGGCACGGCAAGCCUGAUGUGAAAGCCCUCGGCUUAACUGGGGGAGUGCAUUGGAAACUGAAGGACUAGAGUAUCGGAGAGGCAAGUGGAAUUCCUAGUGUAGCGGUGAAAUGCGUAGAUAUUAGGAGGAACACCAGUGGCGAAGGCGGCUCGCUGGACGAAAACUGACGUUGAGGCUCGAAAGCGUGGGGAGCAAACAGG
RNAcentral lists this ribosomal RNA (253 nucleotides) under uncultured bacterium. RNAcentral describes it as "partial 16S ribosomal RNA". It matches the Rfam family "Bacterial small subunit ribosomal RNA", at positions 524 to 776 of the family's 1533-position model. The record is from RNAcentral.